This 364-nucleotide unclassified non-coding RNA is filed under the name uncultured bacterium. RNAcentral describes it as "contains 16S-23S intergenic spacer region". The record is from RNAcentral.
UCCCGAUUGGCUCGGGCAGUCUCGUCUGAAAAGUACAACAGACGACAAGGGUUGCGCUCGUUGCGGGACUUAACCCAACAUCUCACGACACGAGCUGACGACGGCCAUGCAACACCUGUCAUAGCGGCCCGAAGGCACUCUCCCGUUUCUGGGAGAUUAGCUAUGAUGUCAAACCUCGGUAAGGUUCUUCGCGUAUCAUCGAAUUAAACCACAUGCUCCACCGCUUGUGCGGGUCCCCGUCAAUUCCUUUGAGUUUUAGCCUUGCGGCCGUACUCCCCAGGCGGGAUGCUUAACGCGUUAGCUUCACAACACAGAGGGUCGAUACUCCAUACUAUUAGCAUCCAUCGUUUACGGCGUGGACUAC